Molecule: non-coding RNA, 114 nt
Organism: Musca domestica (house fly)
Lineage: Eukaryota; Metazoa; Arthropoda; Insecta; Diptera; Muscidae
Source: Rfam
GUCAGGAUGGCCGAGCGGUCUAAGGCGCCAGACUCAAGAGAAAUCUUACCUCUCUACGGAGGUUGAGCGUUCUGGUCCUCUCUGAGGGCGUGGGUUCAAAUCCCACUCCUGACA